CACCAGACAAUAGUAAGAUUGAGUCGGUUAAGUUAUGUGUAAGUAUGUGCAUUGUUACAUGUUGUGCUUUUCCAAACCAUUCAGUGCAUUUGCAUCAUCUUUCAAGAACCUAAUCAAGCAUGUAUUAUCUUACUGCAAAUACAAAUGACCACUGUCUCAUUUAGCAUGGGAAAAAGAACGGAUCAUGACCACAAGCAGUACUGGACAAGCCUGAGCCAAGCAGAGUUCGCCAGACCAGCAGUGACAAUGUGUAACCCCUGGAUGACCACCAGAAACUUGGAGCUGCACAUCCCUCAGAAAUAACAAUUGUUACCACUGCAGAGUGCAGCUUGCCAUCACUCCUGCUUGUGAAAACACAAAGCCCUUCUGCCACGGUGGGAUUUCUGGACCAUGGCACGUACACAGACCUGAAGGGCAAUGGUCAGCAGUCACCCUUCAGCCCUUAAUAAUCUUUAACUCUCCUAUUCAGCGCCUACACACGGAAAAGCCUACAUC
RNAcentral lists this long non-coding RNA (495 nucleotides) under Numida meleagris (helmeted guineafowl). Its description in RNAcentral is "lncRNA (ENSNMEG00000017412.1)". Lineage: Eukaryota; Metazoa; Chordata; Aves; Galliformes; Numididae. The record is from RNAcentral.